GGGGGCGUCACGGCUUCGACGUGUCUGGAGAGUCUCGAGUCGCGUGCCGAGGUGCCCGGGAGGCCUCGUAAAACACCUGGGAAACUUUUAGUUGCCAACUCUGAACUGGCGCUGGCUGCCUAACUUCGGUUAGCUGCAGUCCGUCUCUUGAGCGGCCCGCCCGAGGCGGUUCCUGAGACGUCGACAAUUCGGGCUGCUGCGUGCGUUCCGCCUUCCGGCGCACGCUGAAGACACAGGGGGGCUAGCCCGGGAGAGGGUGGUUCGCUGACCCUCCCCGGCGCGAACUGAACAGCGAGCUACGCACGUAGUGGCUCUGGAGGAUCCUUUCGCGGACGCGGGUUCGACUCCCGCCGCCUCCACUG
Molecule: transfer-messenger RNA, 362 nt
Filed under: Longimicrobiales
Lineage: Bacteria; Pseudomonadati; Gemmatimonadota; Longimicrobiia
Also listed under: 1 other name
Description: JAGQIF01 sp020431485 Standard tmRNA
Rfam family: transfer-messenger RNA
About the family: Bacterial tmRNA, also known as 10Sa RNA or SsrA, is named for its dual tRNA and mRNA-like properties. Its role is to liberate the mRNA from a stalled ribosome.
Source: RNAcentral